UUUAUAAUAGUCAAGAAGCUAUGACUGUAGACUUAAAAUCUAUCAGCGGAAGUUAAAAUCUCCCUUAUAAUU
RNAcentral lists this transfer RNA (72 nucleotides) under Ophioplinthus gelida. RNAcentral's name for it is "tRNA-Leu". It matches the Rfam family "tRNA". Rfam says of the family: Transfer RNA (tRNA) molecules are approximately 80 nucleotides in length. Their secondary structure includes four short double-helical elements and three loops (D, anti-codon, and T loops). Lineage: Eukaryota; Metazoa; Echinodermata; Ophiuroidea; Amphilepidida; Ophiuridae. The record is from RNAcentral.